RNAcentral lists this ribosomal RNA (365 nucleotides) under uncultured Rhodoferax sp. Its description in RNAcentral is "bacterial SSU rRNA". It matches the Rfam family "Bacterial small subunit ribosomal RNA", at positions 1014 to 1382 of the family's 1533-position model. The record is from RNAcentral. Lineage: Bacteria; Pseudomonadati; Pseudomonadota; Betaproteobacteria; Burkholderiales; Comamonadaceae.
GCUCGAAAGAGAGCCGUAACACAGGUGCUGCAUGGCUGUCGUCAGCUCGUGUCGUGAGAUGUUGGGUUAAGUCCCGCAACGAGCGCAACCCUUGUCAUUAGUUGCUACAUUCAGUUGGGCACUCUAAUGAGACUGCCGGUGACAAGCCGGAGGAAGUGGGGAUGACGUCAAGUCCUCAUGGCCCUUAUAGGUGGGGCUACACACGUCAUACAAUGGCUGGUACAAAGGGUUGCCAACCCGCGAGGGGGAGCCAAUCCCAUAAAGCCAGUCGUAGUCCGGAUCGUAGUCUGCAACUCGACUACGUGAAGUCGGAAUCGCUAGUAAUCGUGGAUCAGAAUGUCACGGUGAAUACGUUCCCGGGUCUU